UACGGAAGGGGCAAGCGUUGUUCGGAUUCAUUGGGCGUAAAGGGUGCGUAGGUGGCGCUGUAAGUCGGGUGUGAAAUCCUGAGGCUUAACCUCGGAACUGCAUUCGAUACUGCGGCGCUUGAGGACUGGAGAGGAGACUGGAAUUCAUGGUGUAGCAGUGAAAUGCGUAGAGAUCAUGAGGAAGACCAGUGGCGAAGGCGGGUCUCUGGACAGUUCCUGACACUGAGGCAUGAAGGCCAGGGGAGCAAACGGG
Molecule: ribosomal RNA, 253 nt
Filed under: uncultured bacterium
Lineage: Bacteria
Description: partial 16S ribosomal RNA
Rfam family: Bacterial small subunit ribosomal RNA
Source: RNAcentral